UCCCUGCUAGCUCAGCUGGUAUAGAAUCUGCCUGCAAUGCAGGAGACCUCGGUUCUAUUCCUUGGUUGGGAA
Molecule: transfer RNA, 72 nt
Filed under: Bos taurus (domestic cattle)
Lineage: Eukaryota; Metazoa; Chordata; Mammalia; Artiodactyla; Bovidae
Also listed under: 1 other name
Rfam family: tRNA
About the family: Transfer RNA (tRNA) molecules are approximately 80 nucleotides in length. Their secondary structure includes four short double-helical elements and three loops (D, anti-codon, and T loops).
Source: Rfam by way of RNAcentral